This is a long non-coding RNA of Cyprinus carpio carpio, 2184 nucleotides long. NCBI's taxonomy places the organism in Eukaryota, Metazoa, Chordata, Actinopteri, Cypriniformes, Cyprinidae. The record is from Ensembl.
GUUUAAAGGGGUCAUUUGAUGCUAUUUAAAUUUUUCCUUUCUCUUUGGAGUGUUAUAAGCUCUUGGUGAUUAAAGAAGAUCUGUAAAGUUGCAAAGACUAAAGUCUCAAAUCCAAAGAGAUAUUCUUUAUAAAAUUAAGAUUCAACCACGCCCUCCUGAAAUGGCUUGUUUAAACACGCCACCACAUGUCUGUCACGAUGUGGGAAGAUUUGCAUAACAUUUCCAAAUGUUUACGCAAAGAAAGGUGGCAUAACUUUUAUUCUCGCUGUUGCUGCCGGCACUAUGUUGUGGAGAAGCUGUGUGUGUCGUUGUGAAAGCGAAACUACUUUGUUUGGCCUUCCAAAAGAGGACACAACUAGAAAUCAGUGGUUAAGUUGUAUUAACAACACUGUUCCAGAACAGAUCAACCCAAAUAUUCAGAUGUGUGCAAAUCUUCCCACAUCGUGACGUAGACAUGUGGGGGCAUGUUAGAACAAGGCGUUUUAGGGGUGUGUGGUUGACUCUUAACUUUUAUAAAGAAUAUUUAUAAAUUUGUUUAUUUGUAAAUUUGUAUGUAAUGUUUCUUUAAGAACAUUAACUAACAUCGUAACAUAACUAACAUUAUGUAUUGCUUAGAUCAUUAGUCAACAAGUAGUUAAUAGUUAAAAUGUCAUGAAAAUAGAAGUUCAAUCAUCUCCCCUAAUGUGCUGAUUCAAAACCCUGGUGACUAAAUAAUGACUUUUAACACUUUUAUUAAAAUUCUGUCCUUAAUAUUUUAUUUAGAAAAAGAAAACAUUUGAGUCUGUAUAUCAACAUUCUGUACAUGAAUGCAUUUUUUAUUUCUGUUAGUGAUACAUUCACAAUGCAACUGACAAAGUGAUACAAACAAAACAGCAUUCCACAAUAUUUUUCAUAAAUCACAGUAAUAUAUUACAAAAACGUAUAUUACAAAAAAAAAAACAUUCAGCAGGAAAUCACUAUUUUAUGACUUAUUUAAAAAGAAAUAAAAAAGUAAGUGUAUGACCUUGACUACAUUUUCACAUGAAGAAAAAGACAUAUUCCUCUCAUACAGUAAAUCUAGUCAUAAAACUAAACAGGCCAGAGUGAUUAAUGGGGAAAUAUUUACAUAUCACUUGCACUGACCAAACACCAUGUGUAGUUAACAGCAGAGGUAGAUGGUAGUCAUUGGGCCAAUUCCAAAGUUACGAAUUAUGUAACAGUUAUUUGAAUGACAUUUGGGUUUAAAUAAGUGUUUAUGUACAUUUUAAAUCUCAUAAAUAUACAUAAUUGAACUAUUUUUUCAAUAUACCAGGGUCUAUCAGUUGAUAUAGAUGUAGAUAUCAUUAUUGGCAUCAUUUAAUAACCCAUAUCAGUUGAGCUCUUGUGUAGAACCAUAAAAUAACUUAUGUAGGAUAUUUGCAAUAACAAGUGUGUGGACGCUAUACAGUAAUUUUAUCCUGCUCUUGAGUCGUAUCAGUAUUUUACUGACUGAAAUCAUGGAAAAAACAGCUUGUGUUCAUAUAAUUCAUAAAAUCAUCAGCAGCUUUUGAUGACACAUAGUUUUUUUCUGGUGUGUAUAAACGGCUGCUCCACAACUGGAUUCAAACUGGAUUCAUGUUCACUUUACAUGAUGACAAUUUCAGCAGAUCUGGAUAUUUGGAACUGAUCCAAAUAUAUUUCCUGAUCGUUUUCUUUACAUCAUCAUUAGAGAUCCUGUGACUUUUACCCAAAACUUGGUAUCUGAAUUUGGAAUCUGUGAGAAAGAGCAACAGAACAUUUAGAGGGGAACAACAGUUUGGCAGUUAGUUAAAAAAAAAAAAAAAAAGGUUCCAAUUUACCUGAAACUGUCUUUACAUGUAGAGCAAAUCUGAUUCAUAGUAAUUAACCUAGAAAACACAUGAUGGAUUAAUGCCAUGGAUAGACUGUAAACGGCAAAUAUUUUUAUAGCAUUAUACCAUUUUUUAAUAUCCUAUAAUAUUGUUGAAAGAUGUUUUAUUCAGUCAAACAGUUAAUCAAUCGAUCAAUCAAUCAAUCAAUCAACCAACCUAUCAAUAACAAUAAAAAGUUUGCUUUGUAAGCCUGAUUCAAAAUCUACAUUUAAUUUAAAUUCGUCAUGAUAACCACAGUCUACAUCAAAAUGCCAUAAUUACUGCAAGAAACCUGUCAUUUCAUUCCACAAUUAUAAGAUUGACAACUGUAAUGCCC